CAGAGUGAGACAAUGUCAAAAAACAAAAACAAAAAACAAAAAACCCUGGUUAGAGGAGGUGAAAUGCAUUGCAUGACAAUCUCAAGUCCCCAAGCACCUGGAGGAUGAGCUAACAAAGGGCUCCUGCUCCUGCUUCUGGCUUUCUUCAGGACUCACUGCCAACCUCCCUGAAGGACAGAAAGUGCGGAAGUUUAAAAAAAAAAUGCCUGUAAUUCCAACACUUUGGGAGGCUGAGGUGGGCAGAUCACAAAGUCAGGAGUUCGAGACCAGCCUGGCCAAUAUGGUGAAACCCUGUCUCUACUAAAAAAAAAUAAAUAAUACAAAAAUUAGCCAGGCGUGGUGGUGAGUGCCUGUAGUCCCAGCUACUCGGGAGGCUGAGGCAGAAGAAUCACUUGAACCCAAGAGGCGGAGCUUGCAGUGAGCUGAGAUUGUGCCACUGCACUCUCGCCUGGGUGAUAGAAUGAAACUCUGUCUCAAAAAAAAAAAAAAAAAGUCUUCAGGCCACCAAUAUUGGCUCAAGCUCUGUGGUUAGGAGAUC
This 538-nucleotide long non-coding RNA is filed under the name Pan troglodytes (chimpanzee). Its description in RNAcentral is "long non-coding RNA NONPTRT005172". The record is from RNAcentral. Lineage: Eukaryota; Metazoa; Chordata; Mammalia; Primates; Hominidae.